AUCGUGAGCCGCGUUCUCUCGUGCAGCAUAAUAACUGGAGAAUUUUCGUCGAGCCGCGGGAAAAAAAACGGUGACCCCGCCUUUUCCUGUUUCCUCCGCACUGUUGUUUCAGAUAACUGCGGCGUUUGAGCCUUGCUGCCCGUUAUCAUCAGAAGCUUCACCACAUAGCAACAGCAGCUUCACCACAUAGCAAGCUGAAGGCCAACCAUUGUAUAGAGUGAUACCUCUAUCACUCUUGGUUUGUGGAAAUCGCGGGCCGUACGCCUUUUUGUGACAAUUAACAUAUCCGCAUAAGUGUCACAAAAAGGCGUACGCCUCCCGUUUUGGUACUCUCCCUACGUGGUGAAGUUCAUUUUUAAGAGUGUGGAAAAAGGAAACUGAAGGAAACGGUCACCCUUUUCUUUUCGACGGAAACUGACACACUUGGAAAAUUACGUUGAUCCGUAUAGCGUUGACACACUCUUGCAGCCGGAAAGGGUUGACUGUAACUUCUGGUGCUUUCAAAAUGGCGACUGGCAGCUAGGAACCUACCAGGACGGCCUCUCAUGUGCGUAUGGCAUAGAACCCGGAGUCUGCAAGAGUGGUUCAUGUCAUCGGAAAACGCAUGAUCCCUUCGUCUACCAAACUGAAGGCCCCGAAGAAACGGAUGACGAGGACGAUUGGGAAGACGACUGACAUGUUGCGGGAAACCAGCGACCAAGGGCUGGGAAGAGAACCAGUACAAUGAGAUUGGUCCUAUAAUAAAGGAUGGUUUUCCUGA
This is a long non-coding RNA of Ornithodoros turicata, 760 nucleotides long. RefSeq lists it as uncharacterized. The transcript is spliced from 2 exons. The record is from RefSeq and is a predicted model, not a curated record. Lineage: Eukaryota; Metazoa; Arthropoda; Arachnida; Ixodida; Argasidae.